Molecule: ribosomal RNA, 322 nt
Filed under: uncultured eukaryote
Lineage: Eukaryota
Description: partial 18S ribosomal RNA
Rfam family: Eukaryotic small subunit ribosomal RNA
Source: RNAcentral
CCCCUAGAUGUUCUGGGCCGCACGCGCGUUACACUGAACAGUUCAACAAGUCUUAACCUUGGCCGAUAGGUCUGGGUAAUCUUUGAACGCUGUUCGUGAUUGGGAUAGACCUUUGCAAUUAUGGGUCUUCAACGAGGAAUUCCUAGUAAACGCAAGUCAUCAGCUUGCAUUGAUUACGUCCCUGCCCUUUGUACACACCGCCCGUCGCUCCUACCGAUGGGGUGAUCCGGUGAAUGAUUCGGACUUCCGCAGUGCUAGCUACUAGCUUUGUGGAAGAAAGUCUUGUGAACCUUAUCACUUGGAGGAAGGAGAANUCGUAACA